GUACGCUGGCGGCACGCCUAACACAUGCAAGUCGAACGAAGUAGCAAUACUUAGUGGCAGACGGGUGAGUAACAUGUAGGUAUCUGCCCUUUGGCCUGGAAUAACACGAGGAAACUUGUGCUAAUACCGGAUAAGUCUUUACGGAGAAAGCUUUAUGCACCAUUGGAUGAGCCUGCACUUGAUUAGUUUGUUGGUGGGGUAAUGGCCUACCAAGACUGUGAUCAAUAGCUGAUUUGAGAGGAUGAUCAGCCACAUUGGGACUGAGACACGGCCCAAACUCCUACGGGAGGCAGCAGUGGGG
This 301-nucleotide ribosomal RNA is filed under the name uncultured Alphaproteobacteria bacterium. Its description in RNAcentral is "bacterial SSU rRNA". It matches the Rfam family "Bacterial small subunit ribosomal RNA", at positions 31 to 359 of the family's 1533-position model. Lineage: Bacteria; Pseudomonadati; Pseudomonadota; Alphaproteobacteria. The record is from RNAcentral.